UGGAACAGAGAGAGAGGUAGAGUAGAGCUGGGUGAUGAACAGAGAGAAGUAGAGUAGAGCUGGGUGAUGGAACAGAGAGAAGUAGAGUAGAGCUGGGUGAUGGAACAGAGAGAUGUAGAGUAGAGCUGGGUGAUGGAACAGAGAUAUGUAGAGUAGAGCUGGGUGAUGGAACAGAGAGAUGUAGAGUAGAGCUGGGUGAUGGAACAGAGAGAUGUAGAGUAGAGCUGGGUGAUG
Molecule: long non-coding RNA, 234 nt
Organism: Oncorhynchus tshawytscha (Chinook salmon)
Lineage: Eukaryota; Metazoa; Chordata; Actinopteri; Salmoniformes; Salmonidae
Exons: 2
Source: RefSeq, a predicted model, not a curated record